This 212-nucleotide long non-coding RNA is filed under the name Cavia porcellus (domestic guinea pig). Its description in RNAcentral is "lncRNA (ENSCPOG00000031751.1)". Lineage: Eukaryota; Metazoa; Chordata; Mammalia; Rodentia; Caviidae. The record is from RNAcentral.
GGAUUGAGGCACACUCUGUAUGAAGUAUCAUUAAACCUCGCUGUCCAUGGACCAAGGAAGAAGAAAGAGCAGCAGAAUCCAACUUGUGAAACUAAAGGCUUUGCAGUUAUUCCUUCCAUAUUUAUGAUGUGAGUCUAAUGGAAAGAACCAACCAUGGAGUAGAAAUACCAUUCUGUUUUCAAAGAGAGGACCUGUGUGGGCUCCAAAUGUGA